GGGGAUGUAGCUCAGUGUAGAAUACUUGCUUGCUAUGUGUGAGGUCCUGGGUUCAAUCCCCAGCACCACCA
This 71-nucleotide transfer RNA is filed under the name Heterocephalus glaber (naked mole-rat). It matches the Rfam family "tRNA". From Rfam's summary of the family: Transfer RNA (tRNA) molecules are approximately 80 nucleotides in length. Their secondary structure includes four short double-helical elements and three loops (D, anti-codon, and T loops). Lineage: Eukaryota; Metazoa; Chordata; Mammalia; Rodentia; Bathyergidae. The record is from Rfam by way of RNAcentral.